This 253-nucleotide ribosomal RNA is filed under the name uncultured bacterium. RNAcentral's name for it is "partial 16S ribosomal RNA". It matches the Rfam family "Bacterial small subunit ribosomal RNA", at positions 524 to 776 of the family's 1533-position model. The record is from RNAcentral.
UACAGGGGGGGCAAGCGUUGUUCGGAAUUACUGGGCGUAAAGGGUUCGUAGGUGGCCAACUAAGUCAGACGUGAAAUCCCUCAGCUUAACUGGGGAACUGCGUCUGAUACUGGAUGGCUUGAGUGUAGGAGAGGAAUGCGGAAUUCCAGGUGUAGCGGUGAAAUACGUAGAUAUCUGGAGGAACACCGGUGGCGAAGGCGGCAUUCUGGACUACAACUGACACUGAGGAACGAAAGCCAGGGGAGCAAACGGG